Molecule: long non-coding RNA, 152 nt
Organism: Bradysia coprophila
Lineage: Eukaryota; Metazoa; Arthropoda; Insecta; Diptera; Sciaridae
Source: RefSeq, a predicted model, not a curated record
AUAAAAAAAAUAUUUUGCAAUCACAAUAGUUAUUUAUGUAACAAGAAUCGUAUGAAGGUAUGUUAUCGCAUUAGAUGUCAGAUUGCCAAUCCGAUGCGAGGCCGAGGUUGGCAAGACGUCGUGUGCGAUAAUAUGCCAGCAUACGAUUCUUG